RNAcentral lists this long non-coding RNA (976 nucleotides) under Gallus gallus (chicken). Its description in RNAcentral is "lncRNA (ENSGALG00010010513.1)". The record is from RNAcentral. Lineage: Eukaryota; Metazoa; Chordata; Aves; Galliformes; Phasianidae.
CUGGAGAUCUUUGCAUACCUGAGGCAUUUUGAAGUCUGAACAGCCCCAGCUCUCUCAUCAGACUGUCCUUGUAGGAGAGGUGCUCCACCCCUUGGAUGAUGUUUGUUGCCCUCCUCUGGAUGUGCUCCAACAGGUUUAUGUCUCUCCUGUACUGAGGUAAUCCACAUUUGGAUGCACUACUCCAGGUUCUAAAAAAAAAAAAAAGUGUCAUUGAAUCAUGAGUUCUUUUUGUAGUUUUCUCUGGAUUACUUUUCCAAGGACGGUAUUUGUAUUUCAAGUUAGUCAAGGGAAGUGUCUCUUUUCUACUGACGAUAUCCUAGCGUGAUGUAAUCUCCUCUUCAACUUCACUAUUGUUUAUAGUUUGUUUUUGAUGUUGUUGAUGUGACUUGAUGCUUGGAGGGAAUUCCUCAGAUUCCCCUAUUUUCGCUUGAAUAGAAAAGUUGCACAGGCCAACAAAGGAAAGCUUGCAUACAUGGAAAACUUAGAGCUCAAAACCAAUCACGGUAGCCUAGAGACAGGAAUUUAAAAUAUGCUUUAGAAGAAACCUCACCAACAAUGGAACGCAAGGACCUACAGAUCUUUGAGAAGUUGUGCUUCGCUUAAGCAAAGUUGGAAAUUAAGACUCUUACAGUAAAAACAUCUGUUGCAGCCACACUUCUAUUGAAAAUAUGAUUGUGAUCACAAAUAUCAUGCUGCUCUUCAAAAUAAGUGGCUACCUAUGUAGCUGUACAUUGGAGGCAACUCCAUUAAGCCAGUGGAAUUUCUCCAGUAUGAAAUAAUUCAUCAAUCCAGGCUGGUAGAUAGCACUGCUUUAAAUUUUAAUGACUUAAAACUUGUUUGAAUAGCACUUCCAUUGAGAAAUGCUGCUGCUUUUUUCUACUGUUAAAAAGACUGUUUUCAUGUAGAAAAUCAGUUGUAAAGCAUAUUUUCAUUAUUUAGGAUGUACAAUACAGAAUAAAUACCCACAGUGAGUAAC